This 253-nucleotide ribosomal RNA is filed under the name uncultured bacterium. RNAcentral's name for it is "partial 16S ribosomal RNA". It matches the Rfam family "Bacterial small subunit ribosomal RNA", at positions 524 to 776 of the family's 1533-position model. The record is from RNAcentral.
UACGUAGGGUGCGAGCGUUAAUCGGAAUUACUGGGCGUAAAGCGUGCGCAGGCGGUUCGUUAUGUCCGAUGUGAAAGCCCCGAGCUUAACUUGGGAAUGGCAUUGGAAACUGGCGGGCUGGAGUGCGGCAGAGGGGGGUGGAAUUCCACGUGUAGCAGUGAAAUGCGUAGAGAUGUGGAGGAACACCGAUGGCGAAGGCAGCCCCCUGGGCCGACACUGACGCUCAGGCACGAAAGCGUGGGGAGCAAAAGGG